GCUGGUGUACUCAAGUGGUCAACGAGGACGGUCUGUAAAACCGUUGCCGCAAGGCUACGUAGGUUCGAACCCUACCGCCAGCA
RNAcentral lists this transfer RNA (83 nucleotides) under bacterium. RNAcentral describes it as "tRNA-Tyr". It matches the Rfam family "tRNA". From Rfam's summary of the family: Transfer RNA (tRNA) molecules are approximately 80 nucleotides in length. The record is from RNAcentral.